This 474-nucleotide ribosomal RNA is filed under the name uncultured organism. Its description in RNAcentral is "partial 16S ribosomal RNA". It matches the Rfam family "Bacterial small subunit ribosomal RNA", at positions 330 to 796 of the family's 1533-position model. The record is from RNAcentral.
CGUACACUCCUACGGGAGGCAGCAGUAGGGAAUCUUCGGCAAUGGGGGCAACCCUGACCGAGCAACGCCGCGUGAGUGAAGAAGGUUUUCGGAUCGUAAAGCUCUGUUGUAAGUCAAGAACGAGUGUGAGAGUGGAAAGUUCACACUGUGACGGUAGCUUACCAGAAAGGGACGGCUAACUACGUGCCAGCAGCCGCGGUAAUACGUAGGUCCCGAGCGUUGUCCGGAUUUAUUGGGCGUAAAGCGAGCGCAGGCGGUUUGAUAAGUCUGAAGUUAAAGGCUGUGGCUCAACCAUAGUUCGCUUUGGAAACUGUCAAACUUGAGUGCAGAAGGGGAGAGUGGAAUUCCAUGUGUAGCGGUGAAAUGCGUAGAUAUAUGGAGGAACACCGGUGGCGAAAGCGGCUCUCUGGUCUGUAACUGACGCUGAGGCUCGAAAGCGUGGGGAGCGAACAGGAUUAGAAACCCUGGUAGUCC